CGGGGGAGCAAGCGUUGUUCGGAUUUACUGGGCGUAAAGGGCGUGUAGGCGGCCACCGCAAGUCAGUUGUGAAAGCUCUGGGCUUAACCCAGAAAGGUCAACUGAUACUGCGGGGCUAGAGUGCAGAAGGGGCAACUGGAAUUCUCGGGUGUAGCGGUGAAAUGCGUAGAUAUCGAGAGGAACACCUGCGGCGAAGGCGGGUUGCUGGGCUGACACUGACGCUGAAACGCGAAAGCUAGGGGAGCGAACGGGAUUAGAUACCCCGGUAGUCCUAGCCUUAAACGAUGAAUGCUUGGUGUCUGGGGUUUUAUAGUCCCCGGGUGCCGUCGCUAACGCUUUAAGCAUUCCGCCUGGGGAGUACGGUCGCAAGACUG
Molecule: ribosomal RNA, 374 nt
Filed under: uncultured organism
Description: bacterial SSU rRNA
Rfam family: Bacterial small subunit ribosomal RNA
Source: RNAcentral